This 207-nucleotide unclassified non-coding RNA is filed under the name Hevea brasiliensis (rubber tree). Lineage: Eukaryota; Viridiplantae; Streptophyta; Magnoliopsida; Malpighiales; Euphorbiaceae. The record is from RNAcentral.
CAACCGGUUCCGAUCUUCUUGGAAACAGAUGGAAGCGCUCAUGACCUUGGCUAGACCAGGAUUGCCUCGGGUUGAGCGGUUUCUUUCCAGCGAUUGGAUAAGGAGUUGAGCUCCUCGGGAAAGCGUUCUAACAGUAGGGCCAAAAGACUCUCCUUCUAUAUUGGAAGAGAUCGGAGGAGGCGAACAUUCAAUCUGCUGAGGUGGAGA